RNAcentral lists this transfer RNA (71 nucleotides) under Ovis aries (sheep). It matches the Rfam family "tRNA". Rfam says of the family: Transfer RNA (tRNA) molecules are approximately 80 nucleotides in length. The record is from Rfam by way of RNAcentral. Lineage: Eukaryota; Metazoa; Chordata; Mammalia; Artiodactyla; Bovidae.
UCCAAUGUGGCUCAGUGGUAAAGAACCUGCCUGCCGAGCAGGAGACUCAGGUUCAAUCCCUGGGUCAGGAA